GUCGUAACAAGGUCUCCGUAGGUGAACCUGCGGAGGGAUCAUUACACAAAUAUGAAGGCGGGCUGGAACCUCUCGGGGUUACAGCCUUGCUGAAUUAUUCACCCUUGUCUUUUGCGUACUUCUUGUUUCCUUGGUGGGUUCGCCCACCACUAGGACAAACAUAAACCUUUUGUAAUUGCAAUCAGCGUCAGUAACAAAUUAAUAAUUACAGCUUUCAACAACGGAUCUCUUGGUUCUGGCAUCGAUGAAGAACGCAGCGAAAUGCGAUAAGUAGUGUGAAUUGCAGAAUUCAGUGAAUCAUCGAAUCUUUGAACGCACAUUGCGCCCUUUGGUAUUCCAAAGGGCAUGCCUGUUCGAGCGUCAUUUGUACCCUCAAGCUUUGCUUGGUGUUGGGCGUCUUGUCUCUAGCUUUGCUGGAGACUCGCCUUAAAGUAAUUGGCAGCCGGCCUACUGGUUUCGGAGCGCAGCACAAGUCGCACUCUCUAUCAGCAAAGGUCUAGCAUCCAUUAAGCCUUUUUUUCAACUUUUGACCUCGGAUCAGGUAGGGAUACCCGCUGAACUUAAGCAUAUCA
This 572-nucleotide ribosomal RNA is filed under the name uncultured fungus. RNAcentral describes it as "eukaryotic LSU rRNA". The stretch from base 210 to 363 matches the Rfam family "5.8S ribosomal RNA". Lineage: Eukaryota; Fungi. The record is from RNAcentral.